GAUGAACGCUGGCGGCGUGCCUAAUACAUGCAAGUCGAGCGAACAGACGAGGAGCUUGCUCCUCUGACGUUAGCGGCGGACGGGUGAGUAACACGUGGAUAACCUACCUAUAAGACUGGGAUAACUUCGGGAAACCGGAGCUAAUACCGGAUAAUAUAUUGAACCGCAUGGUUCAAUAGUGAAAGACGGUUUUGCUGUCACUUAUAGAUGGAUCCGCGCCGCAUUAGCUAGUUGGUAAGGUAACGGCUUACCAAGGCAACGAUGCGUAGCCGACCUGAGAGGAUGAUCGGCCACACUGGAACUGAGACACGGUCCAGACUCCUACGGGAGGCAGCAGUAGGGAAUCUUCCGCAAUGGGCGAAAGCUUGACGGAGCAACGCCGCGUGAGUGAUGAAGGUCUUCGGAUCGUAAAGCACUGUUAUUAGGAAAGAACAAAUGUGUAAGUAACUAUGCGCGUCUUGACGGUACCUGAUCAGAAAGCCACGGCUAACUACGUG
This 497-nucleotide ribosomal RNA is filed under the name uncultured bacterium. RNAcentral describes it as "partial 16S ribosomal RNA". It matches the Rfam family "Bacterial small subunit ribosomal RNA", at positions 28 to 507 of the family's 1533-position model. The record is from RNAcentral.